Molecule: non-coding RNA, 1295 nt
Organism: Pogona vitticeps (central bearded dragon)
Lineage: Eukaryota; Metazoa; Chordata; Lepidosauria; Squamata; Agamidae
Source: RefSeq, a predicted model, not a curated record
GAUGCAAUCAAAGCCCAGCAGGCAGACCACACCUACAUCUGGGACUUCCGAAGCCUGCAAUACAGCCUUGUUGUAUGUACGUUCGUUGGUGCCCUCGGAGGAGGAUGUUUUCUGAUGACUGCCCUUCACAUUGAAAAAGAUCAGCUAAAAGCUGCCCAGCUACCUCCACCACCAUCAUCCAUCCAAGGCAUUGAAAACAAAACCUAUAUCUCACAGGAUGAAAGCCUCUGAAUGAAUCUUUCUAUGACAUAGCACUAUUUGGUGGAGAAGAAAAUGCUGGAAUUAUAAGCCGCCAUAUUGACAGUUCCCUCCAUCUGAUGGUAGGGAACGUCUGUGACUGACGUCUUAAUAUGGCAUUCAAAUCAUGCUUUAAAUUACAGUAUGUGGCAACCCCUCCAAAUCUCUCCUCUUGAAAACUGGCAGAAGAGUUUGCCAAGGAAGGCGAGGGCAGUGGAAGCCGAGAGCAUCACUGAGCUGUCAGAGAGAAAAUUCCUUCUGCAGAAAACAGGACCUGUACAGAAUAGCACAAAUGACUGGCAGAUGGAAGCCCAUCAUUCCCUGGAAGCUCGAGAUGAGGCAGCUCCUUCUACAGCUGGGGUAGGCAAGGUGUGGGUGCCUGUAGCCCUCCCCUCUCACACACCUUGGUUCCCAAUGCACCCCUCAGCACCCUUGUUUGUCAAACUGGGAAAUGACUUCCCAUCGCUUCUGGUUUCCAGGAGAAAUACAAAAAUCUCAUCCGAGCCCUAAAACAGGUCCAUGUGGGGGUCCGUGUCCCCGGGAGAAGAAGGAAGCAGUUCCUGAUCUUAUGCCAACCACUGUCUCUAUAUAGAGAUGAGUCUUUCUUAAAACUGAAUCACCAGGGGUCCCCUGGAAAAAUGCCUGUGCUGCAGGGUGGGUGAUUUCCCAAACUCCUCCUCCAUGUGUUUCUUGGGACUGAAGUCACAGCCAGUUCUAUACAGAGCUAACGUUUGGCAUUCCGGCGGGUUCUGGGAAUUGCAGUUCCAUCAGGCUCAAGGGCUAGAAUCCUGUGGCUCACAUAUGCCAGGGUGUAAACACAGUGGCAUAAAUCUCAGCCACACGUGGCUGCUAGGAAAGGUGUCGCUGCUCAUAUUCCUUGUCGUGCAUCAGUUACAUGGUCUGGCACACAGCAAAGAAUACAAGUGUUGACUUAUUAACCAGCAGCACUUCGUCAGUGAGAUCUCCACCAUUUCACUUGGGUACCUAAGCAUCUGAAUUCAAGCUGCACUUCCCAAACUCUUGAGUUUGACUCUCAAAUUAAAAUUUAAAAAAUGUCA